AUGAGAAGGGAAGGAAACGGCCACGCACAACUGUUGGGGCCCGAGGUGUUCUUUUCUCGGCGCUUGGCAUCCUGCUCCGGCCGUGGGGCUGGGGCAGCCAGAAGAGGAGUAAGCGUUGGUGUUCGAAGCCAAGUCAGAACAGGACAUUGACUUUUCCACUGGGAACAGUAAGAGUUGCAGAGUUGAAGCCUGAUUGGACCUUUCUUGAUCCUAUUUUCUUCUAUUCCCAGAGGUAACAGAAUCCUCAAAUCUUCCCUGGCCAGUAUGGUAGCCCCUACCCACAUGUAAUUCCUGAUCAUUUGAAAUGUGACCAGUGCCACACGUUGAAAAGAUAAUAUUUAGGGGCUUCCCUGGUAUCUCGGUGGUAAAGAAUCCGCCUGCCAAUGCAGGAUGCACAGGUUCGAUCCCUGGUUCAGGAAGAUUCCACAUGCUGCGGAACAGCCAAGCACAUGCACCACAGCUAUUGAGCCUGUGCUCAAGAGCCCGGGAACCACAAUUACUGAGCCCAUGAGCCACAACUGCUGACGCCUACACGCCCUAGAGCCUGUGCCCA
Molecule: long non-coding RNA, 553 nt
Organism: Capra hircus (goat)
Lineage: Eukaryota; Metazoa; Chordata; Mammalia; Artiodactyla; Bovidae
Exons: 3
Source: RefSeq, a predicted model, not a curated record